GAAACCGGGGCUAAUACCGGAUGGUUGUUUGAACCGCAUGGUUCAGACAUAAAAGGUGGCUUCGGCUACCACUUACAGAUGGACCCGCGGCGCAUUAGCUAGUUGGUGAGGUAACGGCUCACCAAGGCGACGAUGCGUAGCCGACCUGAGAGGGUGAUCGGCCACACUGGGACUGAGACACGGCCCAGACUCCUACGGGAGGCAGCAGUAGGGAAUCUUCCGCAAUGGACGAAAGUCUGACGGAGCAACGCCGCGUGAGUGAUGAAGGUUUUCGGAUCGUAAAGCUCUGUUGUUAGGGAAGAACAAGUGCCGUUCAAAUAGGGCGGCACCUUGACGGUACCUAACCAGAAAGCCACGGCUAACUACGUGCCAGCAGCCGCGGUAAUACGUAGGUGGCAAGCGUUGUCCGGAAUUAUUGGGCGUAAAGGGCUCGCAGGCGGUUUCUUAAGUCUGAUGUGAAAGCCCCCGGCUCAACCGGGGAGGGUCAUUGGAAACUGGGGAACUUGAGUGCAGAAGAGGAGAGUGGAAUUCCACGUGUAGCGGUGAAAUGCGUAAAGAUGUGGAGGAACACCAGUGGCGAAGGCGACUCUCUGGUCUGUAACUGACGCUGAGGAGCGAAAGCGUGGGGAGCGAACAGGAUUAGAUACCCUGGUAGUCCACGCCGUAAACGAUGAGUGCUAAGUGUUAGGGGGUUUCCGCCCCUUAGUGCUGCAGCUAACGCAUUAAGCACUCCGCCUGGGGAGUACGGUCGCAAGACUGAAACUCAAAGGAAUUGACGGGGGCCCGCACAAGCGGUGGAGCAUGUGGUUUAAUUCCAAGCAACGCGAAGAACCUUACCAGGUCUUGACAUCCUCUGACAAUCCUAG
Molecule: ribosomal RNA, 866 nt
Filed under: Bacillus amyloliquefaciens
Lineage: Bacteria; Bacillati; Bacillota; Bacilli; Caryophanales; Bacillaceae
Description: bacterial SSU rRNA
Rfam family: Bacterial small subunit ribosomal RNA
Source: RNAcentral